This 497-nucleotide ribosomal RNA is filed under the name uncultured bacterium. Its description in RNAcentral is "partial 16S ribosomal RNA". It matches the Rfam family "Bacterial small subunit ribosomal RNA", at positions 28 to 507 of the family's 1533-position model. The record is from RNAcentral.
GAUGAACGCUGGCGGCGUGCCUAAUACAUGCAAGUCGAGCGAACGGACGAGAAGCUUGCUUCUCUGAUGUUAGCGGCGGACGGGUGAGUAACACGUGGAUAACCUACCUAUAAGACUGGGAUAACUUCGGGAAACUGGAGCUAAUACCGGAUAAUAUUUUGAACCGCAUGGUUCAAAAGUGAAAGACGGUCUUGCUGUCACUUAUAGAUGGAUCCGCGCUGCAUUAGCUAGUUGGUAAGGUAACGGCUUACCAAGGCAACGAUGCAUAGCCGACCUGAGAGGGUGAUCGGCCACACUGGAACUGAGACACGGUCCAGACUCCUACGGGAGGCAGCAGUAGGGAAUCUUCCGCAAUGGGCGAAAGCCUGACGGAGCAACGCCGCGUGAGUGAUGAAGGUCUUCGGAUCGUAAAACUCUUUUAUUAGGGAAGAACAUAUGUGUAAUUAACUGUGCACAGCUUGACGGUACCGAAUCAGAAAGCCACGGCUAACUACGUG